UGUCACGCCCCUCAAAUAUAUCCAUGAUUUUAAAACAAUUUUCAUCACAGACCAAUCCAGGAUCCAAACUAACAUUUGAGGACACUGAAAAACAUUCUAUUCAUAUUCACAUCUAUAAAACCUGUGCAGUUUAAAAUCAUAUAUCACAUCACUCGAUAAUUCACAUUUAUGGCAACCCAAGCCAACUUGACAAAAAUGAACAACAUUUAUAAAUCCACAAGCUAAAUAAAUUAUACAAUCAGAACUCCAACUAUUCACCACAAGUUCAUAUCAUCAUAAAUUAGACUUAACAUUCAGAAAUUCCAAAUAAGAGAGAUCUCCUAACACUUUGACACAGUAUAUCCAUUUCAG
RNAcentral lists this long non-coding RNA (351 nucleotides) under Musa acuminata (dwarf banana). Its description in RNAcentral is "long non-coding RNA (MACU_LNC009147)". The record is from RNAcentral. Lineage: Eukaryota; Viridiplantae; Streptophyta; Magnoliopsida; Zingiberales; Musaceae.